ACACUGAUUGUAGAAUUAACAUAGGGUCUGCACUAGCCAAGCGCUCCGCCCACAAAUCAAUAACAAGGUGUUUUUUGGCGAGCUUCGCGGCAGUCGGUGUAGCCAACUGAACUCAGCAUACACUUGGCUAAUUAAACGGAUUUUAAGAGUGAAAUAAGAGAUGAACCUGGCGCAAGCAAAAAAGAAGGAGAAAGAGACGAAGGAGAAAGAUAUGGAGAAGAAAACCAAGGGGAAGAAGGGGGAGAAAAGAGCCAACUUCCAUGUGCUGGUGGCCAUGAUAUCACCGCAUGAUAGGGAUGAAGAUUCCGAGGCUGUUCCUCAAAUCAUCAAACAUAAGGACGAGACGCAAAAACAAGAAACCAUCAAGAAUGAUUCUAAAACCAAGAAAGAAUAACCUCUUUUGGCGACUCUUUUGACUGACUCAACCGUUUAUAAAUGUUGCUUUUUAUAUUCCAUCUUAUUCGUCGUAUUAUGUUGGUUGUGACUUUUUAAAAUUGUAAGGCAAUGUUGGUAAAACUUCAUAUCAAAUUAAACCAUAUCAAAAACGUAAUUCUGAAUUAAGAUUUUGAAAAUCUAAUCAAAAACCGUGAAAUUUUGAUCUUAAACUUAACAUUUGCAACAAAAUAUGUAAGUUAGUAACGCACAAAUUCAAUAGUGAUACGAUACAGUUGUGAACCAAUUAAUCUAGGCACAUUUGUCUGACUUUGACUUGUUCUUAUGGCUACAUUGUAAUUUUAUUGUCAUUAGAAAAAACAUCAUCGUAGAACAUCAUUCUAAAAUCAUCCAUCACUAUGACUACGUUUUUCUUUUGUGUUCCUUAAGACUGCAUCCUGUCCGAUCCUCAAAGACUGUGCAAUUUUAACCCCAAUCUUUUACAUUUGAUACACUUUUUUUAACGUUUUAUAAAGAUUAAUUUGUUGUAUAUUUCUAUAACGUAUGUCAUUUAAGACUAUUAAGCUCAUUUACUAAAUGUUAUCGUAAUAAAACUCUUCAAAAUCACUGUGUUUUUAUUUACCUUACCUAAUGGCAUCUAAACCGGUAGGUACUGAAAGAAAGACAAAAGUAAGUAUACAGUCUCAAUUAGUACAACGCAGACGUCUUUGUCUCACUACAAUAGAUAUCUCUGAUAGAUAUAUCUGAGUGAUAGAUUUCGUCUCGUGGUACAGUGUUAGCUGUAUGUGAAACAAACAGAGCUAUAGCUAUGCUCUCAGUCAGCAGGCAUGUAGGCAAUAGCUCCAGAAUCGAUAGAUAUUUCGUGUGGGUGUAAAGGCUGUGGUGGACGCCAUUUGUCCAUCCUUUUCGUCUAGCCUACAUCCCUGAUACGAUGUAAAUAAUUACAAACUAAAUAGAUCAGUGGUGAUCGCGAGUUCCUAAGGUCAGUGCGAUGCGUUCAAGCGAGAACGCAAGGAAGGAGAUGUUGCCCUUUGAGGUGAUUGUCACGACAGUGUACUGCAACUGUAAAACCUGCGUCAAGUAUUGCUGCGACAAGGAGCCAGUCAAGUGCAUCGAUCCGCGUCUCAUGCACAUGUGGAAUACCUGCUGGAUCACCCACGGUCUUAAGACCACCUACAAAACUAAUAGGCCAAAAAGACUCAAAAACAACCUGAAUCAAAACAAAUCAAAACGUUUUAAACCUGAACAUCAACAAGAAAAAUGCAAUCAAUCCAAUGGAAAUUGAUAUGGCCUUGGUGUGUGCUGCUGUGCCGAAAAGAGAAGACCCACACACUGCAGACUAAACAGUCGACCAUUUCUUUUCCUAGAAUAUAUGGAUUCCAAUGAAGGUGCGUGAACUACAAUUCAUUUUCAUACUUAUUUAUGAUCACGAACUAUAAAAGUUUGCAGAGUAAAAGUGUGCAGUACGGUAACAACGGGCCCCAAUCAUUAGUUUAUAUUGCUGUGUAUUUUGUGUUUUUGUUUUUACAAAUUUUAUAUUUUUUUACUCAAACUAGGUAUGAUAAAAGUGCUCACCAAGCAGUAUUUAUCGCAGUUUUGUUAGUUCUAAGGUAUAUUUUUUGGUUUAUUAACGUUGUUUACAGUUUUUAUGUGAGCGAGUAUGUUUUAGUUUCUUUUAU
Long non-coding RNA from Helicoverpa armigera (cotton bollworm), 2072 nucleotides. RefSeq lists it as uncharacterized. The transcript is spliced from 3 exons. The record is from RefSeq and is a predicted model, not a curated record. NCBI's taxonomy places the organism in Eukaryota, Metazoa, Arthropoda, Insecta, Lepidoptera, Noctuidae.